CUCACUUGAAUAGUCUGGAAUAUAGCAGUAUAAGCAGAUCAAAGGAUUUUUUAAUCUUAAGAUAUAGUAGAAGUAUUUUAUAAUAUUUCCCGCUGUUUAACUGAAAAAGCAACAUUGUACUAGGUCAGAUCAUCAAGGAUCAUUUUUAAAGCUGAUCCAACAUUUGGAAACAAACUUCCCAGGCAGUCCUCUCACUUUGUCACUUCCACAUGACUUUCCCAGGCACCUGGAUUCUGUCAGGAGCAAAAACAACAGAUGCCAUAAUCUUCAUCUGCAGGUUUCCCAGCCAGAAUGCUGAAUCCAAGGCAACUUCUUGUCUUGCCACAGCAGGUUUUUGUCUGCAGUGUGCUUCCUUCUGAUCCAUGGUUCUGCAGGCAUUGUGAGAUGGAGGACUGAGCCUUUGUUCCAGUGGUAGCAGAUAGCACUGCUAUUUGAUGCUUCCACCCUGAAGCACCACCCAGCUGGCUUGGGGACCCCUGCUACAAGGGACAAACUGAGCUCUGCAUCAGGCACUGCUGCUGCACAGGUUUAGCACAAGUUCUUGUCUGCCUUUGUGGGCCUUGGUGCUGUGACUGCACGAUAGGCAUGCUCUAGAGCUACUGCCGUGCCUGCCGUCCGACCAGAAUCUGUCUAAAGGCAGUGGAUCUUGGAUUUCACAUCAACAGUAGAGGUCUAAAAGUGUCAUUGUAUCCUGCACAGUGUAUCCAAACUGUGAUCUUGUGGAAUGGACUCAUAAACCAAGACUUUAUGAUACUUGCACUGAGUGCAGUGUAAAAGCAUAUUGUGUUCAUCCUUUUCUUUCUAUGUCUAAUGGUUGUCCUUGAAACCUUGCAGGAGGUGUUGUUAUCUAACUGAAAUACAUUGCUAUGAGAGCUUGCUACGCUGCACUGGGCUCUUUAGAAAGCUUUUACCAUUUCAUAAUUUAAAUGUAUGUUUGUCCCUCUUUAAUUGAAAAGUUGUUAGGAGUGAAAGGCUUGUGUGUCUGAAUUGCUUGAAGGCUGCUUUGACUUUUGGUUGCCGAGGAAACCAUUUUAAUGUAGAACUGUAUUCCAAUAACUUCAAAGUCUCUGUUCUGUUAUGGUUUGUGUGUUCCUUGGGAUGAGAGCUGUUUCAGUGGGAAGCUGUUUCAAAGUAGCUUAGUUCGAUCUGGGUUUGGCAUAUCUAAAAAGUGCUGAUGGGGCUUCAAAGUUCAGCUGGCAUUGUAAUUUCUAGGCCAGUUCUAUGUUCCGUAUGGAUCCAUGACUGGACCCAACACCACCACUGCUGAUUUGUGACUUUGGAAUACAUGCACCAUCAUGUUACCCAGUAUUCUGACUGAUAUCCUCAACUUCUUUUAUUACUCUUUUGCCUGUUCAUGCA
RNAcentral lists this long non-coding RNA (1359 nucleotides) under Cyanistes caeruleus (blue tit). Its description in RNAcentral is "lncRNA (ENSCCEG00000021305.1)". The record is from RNAcentral. Lineage: Eukaryota; Metazoa; Chordata; Aves; Passeriformes; Paridae.